RNAcentral lists this ribosomal RNA (582 nucleotides) under Brevundimonas sp. RNAcentral describes it as "bacterial SSU rRNA". It matches the Rfam family "Bacterial small subunit ribosomal RNA", at positions 60 to 688 of the family's 1533-position model. Lineage: Bacteria; Pseudomonadati; Pseudomonadota; Alphaproteobacteria; Caulobacterales; Caulobacteraceae. The record is from RNAcentral.
AGUCGAACGAACUCUUCGGAAUUAGUGGCGGACGGGUGAGUAACACGUGGGAACGUGCCUUUAGGUUCGGAAUAACUCAGGGAAACUUGAGCUAAUACCGGAUGUGCCCUUCGGGGGAAAGAUUUAUCGCCUUUAGAGCGGCCCGCGUCUGAUUAGCUAGUUGGUGAGGUAAAGGCUCACCAAGGCGACGAUCAGUAGCUGGUCUGAGAGGAUGAUCAGCCACAUUGGGACUGAGACACGGCCCAAACUCCUACGGGAGGCAGCAGUGGGGAAUCUUGCGCAAUGGGCGAAAGCCUGACGCAGCCAUGCCGCGUGAAUGAUGAAGGUCUUAGGAUUGUAAAAUUCUUUCACCGGGGACGAUAAUGACGGUACCCGGAGAAGAAGCCCCGGCUAACUUCGUGCCAGCAGCCGCGGUAAUACGAAGGGGGCUAGCGUUGCUCGGAAUUACUGGGCGUAAAGGGAGCGUAGGCGGACAUUUAAGUCAGGGGUGAAAUCCCGGGGCUCAACCUCGGAAUUGCCUUUGAUACUGGGUGUCUUGAGUAUGAGAGAGGUGUGUGGAACUCCGAGUGUAGAGGUGAAAUU